Molecule: ribosomal RNA, 200 nt
Filed under: uncultured bacterium
Lineage: Bacteria
Description: partial 16S ribosomal RNA
Rfam family: Bacterial small subunit ribosomal RNA
Source: RNAcentral
AGAGUUUGAUCAUGGCUCAGGAUGAACGCUGGCGGCGUGCUUAAUACAUGCAAGUCGAGCGGCAGCAUGGACUUCGGUCUGAUGGCGAGCGGCGGACGGCUGAGUAACGCGUAGGAACAUACCCCAAAGUGAGGGAUAAGCUCUGGAAACAGAGUCUAAUACCGCAUGUGGUCUUCGGAUUAAAGCUUUAUGCGCUUUGG